CAAACACACCAUUACCUCAAUACCCUGUCAGAUAUGAUGGUGAACCAUAUCUCCAAAACCCUUCCGGUAUGGGAUUUCUUAACCUCAUCUAACUGAAAUAAUGUCUACAGUAGAAAUUUCCCAUGUACCGGGCUCGUUUGCCCUUUUCCAAGGUACCCAGUAAACCUUUCACAUAUAGAUCCCCAUUAACAAAUAAUCACCAAUUUCUUACUAACAUCUCAUUUUAUAUUCACAGAUCAAUCAAACGAUAUUUAAGCAAACAAAGCAUUUUUUUAUAUCUUAACAAU
RNAcentral lists this long non-coding RNA (287 nucleotides) under Carica papaya (papaya). RNAcentral's name for it is "long non-coding RNA (CPAP_LNC000949)". Lineage: Eukaryota; Viridiplantae; Streptophyta; Magnoliopsida; Brassicales; Caricaceae. The record is from RNAcentral.